Molecule: small nucleolar RNA, 131 nt
Filed under: Ochotona princeps (American pika)
Lineage: Eukaryota; Metazoa; Chordata; Mammalia; Lagomorpha; Ochotonidae
Description: Small nucleolar RNA SNORA71 (ENSOPRG00000020485.1)
Source: RNAcentral
CCCUGCAUUCAAAAGGGAUGGUGGGCUGCCUGUGCCUAGUCAUGGACAGUGCAGGGAGAGUAGCUAUGGCUGGUGUUUUCUUGUGUUUGGAGUGUCAAUGCCACUUCUUGUUCUGGGAAGAUGAGCCGCUU